Cercocebus atys (sooty mangabey) is the source of this 498-nucleotide long non-coding RNA. RefSeq lists it as uncharacterized. The transcript has 3 exons. The record is from RefSeq and is a predicted model, not a curated record. NCBI's taxonomy places the organism in Eukaryota, Metazoa, Chordata, Mammalia, Primates, Cercopithecidae.
GAGACACUUUGGGCCUAAGAAAUGAAGGCCAAUUCAUGUGAAGUCAGUCCUCUUAUAACCACAGUAGGAUAGAACUUGUUUCUGAAACCUUCAGAAGGACCAGCCCCUAGACAAACAGCUCCAGUGAAGUCAGCUCUAAGGACAUAUUGAGAAAUCCCAGGACCAAAAUAAUGAGAUACGCAAUUAUGGUGGCUGGCAUGUCUCAAGAUCUGCAAUCAGCUGGAGACCCAGGAGACUUGAUGGUGUAGUUCCAGUCUGAAUUUGAAUGCCUGAGAACCAACAGAGUUGACAGUUCUUUUCCAAUGUGAACGCUAACAGGCCCAAGACCCAGGAUGAACCAGUGUUUCCGUUUGAAUCCAAAAGCAGUCAAGCAAGAGGAAUUUUCUCUUACUAGUUGAAUAAUUUUGAUCAGUUGACAGUUCUUUACUUUCAGCACUUGGAAAAUAUGUUGCUUCCUUCUUCUGCCAGGGCUUCAGGUGAGAAAUAUGUUGUCAUUUG